UGAGACCUGAUGCCGAGCCGAUUGUGGUGAAGUGGAUGAUCCUAUGCUGUCGAGAAAAGCCUCUAGCGAGUUUCAUGGCGGCCCGUACCCUAAACCGACUCAGGUGGUCAGGUAGAGAAUACCGAGGCGUUCGGGUGAACUAUGGUUAAGGAACUCGGCAAAAUGCCCCCGUAACUUCGGGAGAAGGGGGGCCAUCACUGGUGAGAGGACUUGCUCCUCGAGCUGGGGGUGGCCGCAGAGACCAGCGAGAAGCGACUGUUUACUAAAAACACAGGUCCGUGCGAAGCCGUAAGGCGAUGUAUACGGACUGACGCCUGCCCGGUGCUGGAACGUUAAGGGGACCGGUUAGUCACAUUUCGGUGUGGCGAAGCUGAGAACUUAAGCGCCAGUAAACGGCGGUGGUAACUAUAACCAUCCUAAGGUAGCGAAAUUCCUUGUCGGGUAAGUUCCGACCUGCACGAAUGGCGUAACGACUUCUCGACUGUCUCAACCAUAGGCCCGGUGAAAUUGCACUACGAGUAAAGAUGCUCGUUUCGCGCAGCAGGACGGAAAGACCCCGGGACCUUUACUACAGUUUGAUAUUGGUGUUCGGUUCGGCUUGUGUAGGAUAGCUGGGAGACUGUGAACUCUGGACGCCAGUUCAGGGGGAGUCGUCGUUGAAAUACCAGUCUGGUCGUGCUGGAUGUCUAACCUGGGUCCGUGAUCCGGAUCAGGGACAGUGUCUGAUGGGUAGUUUAACUGGGGCGGUUGCCUCCUAAAGAGUAACGGAGGCGCCCAAAGGUUCCCUCAGCCUGGUUGGCAAUCAGGUGUUGAGUGUAAGUGCACAAGGGAGCUUGACUGUGAGACCGACGGGUCGAGCAGGGACGAAAGUCGGGACUAGUGAUCCGGCGGUGGCUUGUGGAAGCGCCGUCGCUCAACGGAUAAAAGGUACCCCGGGGAUAACAGGCUGAUCUUCCCCAAGAGUCCAUAUCGACGGGAUGGUUUGGCACCUCGAUGUCGGCUCGUCGCAUCCUGGGGCUGGAGUCGGUCCCAAGGGUUGGGCUGUUCGCCCAUUAAAGCGGUACGCGAGCUGGGUUUAGAACGUCGUGAGACAGUUCGGUCCCUAUCCGCUGUGCGCGUAGGAGUCUUGAGAAGGGCUGUCCCUAGUACGAGAGGACCGGGACGGACGAACCUCUGGUGUGCCAGUUGUCCUGCCAAGGGCAUGGCUGGUUGGCUACGUUCGGGAGGGAUAACCGCUGAAAGCAUCUAAGCGGGAAGCCUGCUUCGAGAUAAGGACUCCCACCCCCUUUGAGGGGUUAAGGCUCCCAGUAGACGACUGGGUUGAUAGGCCGGAUCUGGAAGCCCAGUAAUGGGUGGAGGUGACCGGUACUAAUAGGCCGAGGGCUUGUCCUCAGUUG
This 1397-nucleotide ribosomal RNA is filed under the name Streptomyces pseudovenezuelae. RNAcentral describes it as "bacterial LSU rRNA". It matches the Rfam family "Bacterial large subunit ribosomal RNA", at positions 1557 to 2925 of the family's 2925-position model. Lineage: Bacteria; Bacillati; Actinomycetota; Actinomycetes; Kitasatosporales; Streptomycetaceae. The record is from RNAcentral.